Long non-coding RNA from Danaus plexippus (monarch butterfly), 258 nucleotides. RefSeq lists it as uncharacterized. NCBI's taxonomy places the organism in Eukaryota, Metazoa, Arthropoda, Insecta, Lepidoptera, Nymphalidae. The record is from RefSeq and is a predicted model, not a curated record. The transcript is spliced from 3 exons.
GAAGACCUCAUGAGGUGUCUGGUCUCUAGUGAGUUGUGAAUAUUGUGUAUCUUGUGUUUCGAGGGGGACACGGUAUUUAACAUACUACAGGUGAUUCACGGUUCUUCAGAAAAGGGAAACUCUUUUUACGAGCCAUCUCACCGGCCUUGGUGGGGCCGGAGAGGAUGUGUGAGACUCGACCUGGGCAGGUCCCUACUCUCUAAAACCACUGCGAAAGCCAUCGGCCGCUAUGAUGGUGCACCCCGGAUCAUCUUACAU